ACUAAACAGCUAGCUCAAACUAUAAUGAACCAAGUUAAUGAUAUAAAUAGUCCUACAGAAAGCUAAAAGCACAAACUAAACCAUUCGACCACCCCAGUACGGGCGACAGAAAAGGAAAUAAAGACGCUAUAGACAAAGUACCGCAAGGGAAAGCUGAAAGAGAAAUGAAAUAACGCACUAAAGUAAAUAAAAGCAGAGACUACAUCUCGUACCUUUUGCAUCAUGAUCUAGCCAGUAACCUCAAGCAAAGAGACCUCUAGUUUGAACCCCCGAAACCGGACGAGCUACUCCGGGGCAGCCUAUUAUAGGGCCAACCCGUCUCUGUGGCAAAAGAGUGGGAAGACCCCCGAGUAGAGGUGAAAGACCUACCGAGUCAGGUUAUAGCUGGUUGCCCAAGAAAUGAAUAGAAGUUCAGCCCCGCCACGCCCUUACCCACAACAGUUUUACUUAAACAAGGCAUAAAGGACACCCGCGGGAGUUAGUCAAGGGAGGUACAGCUCCCUUAACAAAGGACACAACCUUAAACAGGAGGCUAAGGAAUAUAUUAAACUAAGGCCCUAGGUUUCAGUGGGCCUAAAAGCAGCCACCUGAACAGAAAGCGUUAAAGCUCAGACCAAUCCAAGCCUAUUAUAACAUUAAAAUCUCCAAAGCCCCCAAUAUUACUGGGCCAUCCUAUGCCCCCAUAGGAGGGACCAUGCUAGAACGAGUAAUAAGAAGAAAGACCUUCUCCCAGCACAUGUGUAAGUCGAACCGGACACCCCAUCGACAAUUAACGAACCCAACAAGAGAGGGUAGUACACCACCGCCACCCCAGGCCAAGAAGACCAUGUAGUAGAACAUCGUUACCCCCACACAGGAGUGCUUAAAUCAAGGGAAAGACUUAAAGGAUAAAAAGGAACUCGGCAAACCAAAACCCCGCCUGUUUACCAAAAACAUCGCCUCCUGCCACCACUAAUUAUAGGAGGUCCCGCCUGCCCUGUGACCAAAAGUUUAACGGCCGCGGUAUUUUAACCGUGCAAAGGUAGCGCAAUCAAUUGUCUUUUAAAUGGAGACCUGUAUGAAUGGCAUAACGAGGGUUUAACUGUCUCUUUUUCCCGGUCAAUGAAACUGAUCUGCCCGUGCAGAAGCGGGUAUUUACACACAAGACGAGAAGACCCUAUGGAGCUUUAGACGCCAACCAACCACGAAAAGCGGCCGCUGACUGGACCCUUAAACAACGUGAUUAUGGCAUAAGCGUCUUCGGUUGGGGCGACCACGGGAGAUAACAAAGCUCCCGAGUGGAUAGGGGGACACCCUAAAACCCAGAGCCACAGCUCUAAGUCACAAAACAUUUGACCAAUAAUGAUCCGGCUUUAUGCCGACCAACGAACCAAGUUACCCUAGGGAUAACAGCGCAAUCCCCUCCCAGAGUCCAUAUCGACGAGGGGGUUUACGACCUCGAUGUUGGAUCAGGACAUCCUAAUGGUGCAGCCGCUAUUAAGGGUUCGUUUGUUCAACGAUUAAAGUCCUACGUGAUCUGAGUUCAGACCGGAGUAAUCCAGGUCAGUUUCUAUCUGUGAAACCACCCUUCCUAGUACGAAAGGACCGGAGUGAUGAGGCCCCUGCUUUAAGCACGCCUCCCCCCAACCUGCUGAAUACAACUGAAGUAGGUAAAGGGGGGUAAUCCCCGGCCCAAGAGAAGGGCGC
RNAcentral lists this ribosomal RNA (1686 nucleotides) under Alosa fallax (twaite shad). Its description in RNAcentral is "16S ribosomal RNA". The stretch from base 97 to 1607 matches the Rfam family "Bacterial large subunit ribosomal RNA". The record is from RNAcentral. Lineage: Eukaryota; Metazoa; Chordata; Actinopteri; Clupeiformes; Clupeidae.